CCUCAGCCGCGGACGGCGUCCCGAGCGGUCGGACGGGGGAAGAGUCGCCCAAGGUCACUUGAGUCGGGGGCCGGCCCGGGAGCCGCCGCGGGGCUCCGCGCCUCCGGCGUCCGCCCUGACUCCCUGGGCCCGGGCCGCCUGCAGCCGCCCCGGAGCGGGGAGCCCCGUAGGCUCGGGGCCGGCCGAGCUGCCCGCCCGGACUUGUGUCAUCCGCGCCCACGAGACUUGGCUUGUCGUGCUUUGUUGGUGUUUGCUUUUGUUUUGUUUUCAGGAAACCAAAAUGUUUGUAGUUGGACUUACCCGGGAAAGCUGUCCUACCUCAAUUACAUUCGUUGUCUCUUCGAGAAAUGUAAAGUGACCUGGGUAGAAAUGCUCCCUCGGCGUGCUAGAUUUUUCCAUAGUUUCUGUUUUUUGGCUUUGAAAGAGAUUUCUAAGGAAGGGAAAGCCUACGGCCGGCGAGAGAGUUCUGGCCUCGGAUUAUCUGAAGCAACUCAGGCACACGGUGAGAGAGAGAGAGAGGCAGAGACACAGGCAGAGGGAGAAGCAGGCUCCGUGCACCGGGAGCCCGAUGUGGGAUUCGAUCCCGGGUCUCCAGGAUCGCGCCCUGGGCCAAAGGCAGGCGCCAAACCGCUGCGCCACCCAGGGAUCCCCAGUGUUCACAGCCAGCACCGUGGAAAUUGUCAAAAGUACAACAAAAAGUAG
This 702-nucleotide long non-coding RNA is filed under the name Vulpes vulpes (red fox). RNAcentral describes it as "lncRNA (ENSVVUG00000001850.1)". Lineage: Eukaryota; Metazoa; Chordata; Mammalia; Carnivora; Canidae. The record is from RNAcentral.